RNAcentral lists this ribosomal RNA (334 nucleotides) under uncultured eukaryote. Its description in RNAcentral is "partial 18S ribosomal RNA". It matches the Rfam family "Eukaryotic small subunit ribosomal RNA", at positions 1470 to 1796 of the family's 1831-position model. The record is from RNAcentral.
CCCUUAGAUGUCCGGGGCCGCACGCGCGCUACACUGAAGGAAUCAGCGUGGCUUUCUCCCUGACCCGAAAGGGUUGGGAAACCCGUUGAAUCUCCUUCGUAAUAGGGAUUGGGGCUUGAAAUUGUUCCCCAUGAACGAGGAAUUCCCAGUAAGCGCGAGUCAUAAGCUCGCGUUGAUUACGUCCCUGCCCUUUGUACACACCGCCCGUCGCUACUACCGAUUGAACGGUUUAGUGAGGGCCUCGGAUUGGUCUCGGCCCGCUCUUUACCGGGCGGCGCCGUUGGUCGAGAAGACGCUCGAACUUGAUCGUUUAGAGGAAGUAAAAGUCGUAACA